This 252-nucleotide ribosomal RNA is filed under the name uncultured bacterium. Its description in RNAcentral is "partial 16S ribosomal RNA". It matches the Rfam family "Bacterial small subunit ribosomal RNA", at positions 524 to 776 of the family's 1533-position model. The record is from RNAcentral.
UACAGAGGUCCCAAGCGUUGUUCGGAUUUACUGGGCGUAAAGGGUGCGUAGGUGGCGGGGUAAGUCUGGUGUGAAAGCUCCGAGCUUAACUCGGAAAAGCAUUGGAAACUAUCCCGCUGGAGGGUCGGAGGGGAGACUGGAAUUCUCGGUGUAGCAGUGAAAUGCGUAGAUAUCCGGAGGAACACCGGUGGCGAAGGCGGCUUCCUGGACCGACACUGACGCUGAGGCGCGAAGGCGUGGGGAGCGAACGGG